ACAUAAAAGUUCAGAAAAUAAAAAUAAACAAGUUUUAGAAUAAAAUUAGGACGACAUUACAAAAUAUAGAUGAAAAACGUGUUACAUGUACGUACCAAUAGUAUUUUAGCGUGUGUAGUUUUUUAAAUAAGUAAAGAAGUAGAGGAAGGGGCAUCAAAGGAGAGGAACUGCAAAAGGGCGUGAAAAGGGAGGGAACUGCAAAAAGGCGUGAAACUUCCAGAAGAAAGGCAAGAAGCAGCCUCAUUAUCUCUCUGCUUUGAAUCGUUCACUAAACACAGGCUAUCUGUUGAGAAGCUAGCUUCCACUGUGCUUUGGAAACUCUCCACUCCAUGCAGCUAUACUGAAACGGAAUCCUGAUUGUCUUAUGUAGGUGUUCAUUCAAUUAUUUUUUUGAUUCUUGCUUUCAUUUUGGACCGUGCUGCUCAUCAUCACAGGCAGUUGUGUAUCCAGCAAAACCUCCAGAAAGCCCGGAUGAAGAGGUCGAUGAUCCCCUGUACCUGAUUGACAUUGACCAUCCCACAACCUUUUUUGAAGUUGCUCCAGGUUAUGUGGGAUGCUACCAUAUUCGGGGUGUUUAAUCAAAACUUCCCGUUGUAUAUAAAGCACGAAGAUCUCUCUGAAAUUGCACAUGUUGGUCAAUGUCUCAGCAUAUCUAUUAUACAAUUGUG
This is a long non-coding RNA of Glycine soja, 668 nucleotides long. RefSeq lists it as uncharacterized. The record is from RefSeq and is a predicted model, not a curated record. The transcript is spliced from 4 exons. Lineage: Eukaryota; Viridiplantae; Streptophyta; Magnoliopsida; Fabales; Fabaceae.